This 76-nucleotide transfer RNA is filed under the name Promethearchaeum syntrophicum. RNAcentral's name for it is "tRNA-Val (TAC) (tRNA-Val-TAC-1-1)". It matches the Rfam family "tRNA". From Rfam's summary of the family: Transfer RNA (tRNA) molecules are approximately 80 nucleotides in length. Lineage: Archaea; Promethearchaeati; Promethearchaeota; Promethearchaeia; Promethearchaeales; Promethearchaeaceae. The record is from RNAcentral.
GGGCUGAUGGUUUAGUGGUCAUAACGCCGCGCUUACACCGCGGAUGUCCCCGGUUCAAUCCCGGGUCGGCCCACCA